This 23-nucleotide non-coding RNA is filed under the name Arabidopsis thaliana (thale cress). Lineage: Eukaryota; Viridiplantae; Streptophyta; Magnoliopsida; Brassicales; Brassicaceae. The record is from RNAcentral.
GGAGUUUUGAUAGUACUGUUGGU